GACGAACGCUGGCAGCGUGCCUAAUACAUGCAAGUAGAACGCUGAAGAGAGGAGCUUGCUCUUCUUGGAUGAGUUGCGAACGGGUGAGUAACGCGUAGGUAACCUGCCUUGUAGCGGGGGAUAACUAUUGGAAACGAUAGCUAAUACCGCAUAACAAUGGAUGACACAUGUCAUUUAUUUGAAAGGGGCAAUUGCUCCACUACAAGAUGGACCUGCGUUGUAUUAGCUAGUAGGUGAGGUAACGGCUCACCUAGGCGACGAUACAUAGCCGACCUGAGAGGGUGAUCGGCCACACUGGGACUGAGACACGGCCCAGACUCCUACGGGAGGCAGCAGUAGGGAAUCUUCGGCAAUGGGGGCAACCCUGACCGAGCAACGCCGCGUGAGUGAAGAAGGUUUUCGGAUCGUAAAGCUCUGUUGUAAGUCAAGAACGAGUGUGAGAGUGGAAAGUUCACACUGUGACGGUAGCUGACCAGAAAGGGACGGCUAACUACGUG
Molecule: ribosomal RNA, 497 nt
Filed under: uncultured bacterium
Lineage: Bacteria
Description: partial 16S ribosomal RNA
Rfam family: Bacterial small subunit ribosomal RNA
Source: RNAcentral